RNAcentral lists this ribosomal RNA (523 nucleotides) under uncultured bacterium. Its description in RNAcentral is "bacterial SSU rRNA". It matches the Rfam family "Bacterial small subunit ribosomal RNA", at positions 8 to 525 of the family's 1533-position model. The record is from RNAcentral.
AGAGUUUGAUCCUGGCUCAGAUUGAACGCUGGCGGCAGGCUUAACACAUGCAAGUCGAGCGGGGAAGUAUAGCUUGCUAUACGACCUAGCGGCGGACGGGUGAGUAAUGCUUAGGAAUCUGCCUAUUAGUGGGGGACAACAUUCCGAAAGGAAUGCUAAUACCGCAUACGCCCUACGGGGGAAAGCAGGGGAUCUUCGGACCUUGCGCUAAUAGAUGAGCCUAAGUCAGAUUAGCUAGUUGGUGGGGUAAAGGCCUACCAAGGCGACGAUCUGUAGCGGGUCUGAGAGGAUGAUCCGCCACACUGGGACUGAGACACGGCCCAGACUCCUACGGGAGGCAGCAGUGGGGAAUAUUGGACAAUGGGCGAAAGCCUGAUCCAGCCAUGCCGCGUGUGUGAAGAAGGCCUUUUGGUUGUAAAGCACUUUAAGCGAGGAGGAGGCUACUUGGAUUAAUACUCUAGGAUAGUGGACGUUACUCGCAGAAUAAGCACCGGCUAACUCUGUGCCAGCAGCCGCGGUAAUA